UCCCCUCUGGCCCACGCAUGGUGCCACUUGAGCUAACUAGCCGAGAUCCUCUAGAGCACAGGUGGCUUUUCUUUCUCUCUUGUUUUCUUAAUAGGCUUUAAUUCUUGAAAAUGGCAUCAAACGUGGCUUUGGGAUAGGUGCCCGCCGUGCCAAUACAGCUGAACUGUGGCAGCCAUCAGUGCCAGCCCAUCACCAGUAGCAUCGUGCGCUCAGGACUCGCAUGGUGUCAGUGCCUCUGGGGACAGGGAAGAGGCGCACCAGCACAGAGCCACAGCAGCUGGUCACCGUGCACGGAGUGUGGGGCUUGACGACCUUGUUCGCCCAGCAGCCUCACCCUCACAGGGACGACGGAGGGCUUGGCCAGGGAAAUGGCCCCAAGGAUGGCAGCGGCUACCUCCCCAGAGCCCUUAACACCCAGACCCACGUGUCCGUCGUAAGCUCUGACGGCAACAGUUGCCUUGAACCUGGUCCCCUGGCCGGCGGGGGUCUGCUUUUACGCGGGCACAAUCUUCAAAACCUCAUCCUUGAGGGAGGCCCCCAGGAAAACUCAACGAUUUCAGAUUCCCUGAUGGGCCGGGAGAAGAGAGACAUCUCUCCUCCGGGGACCCGAUCGUGUUCCGGACCCGGUGGCCCAGCCUGGUGAAGGGGAUCCACUCCUCGUCCUCAGCCUUGCCUCCUCCCCGGCUGGGGAGGCUGCUGCCCAAGGCUGCGCCAGAAGCCAGUGGCCGCCCAUCCAGGCCCUGCCCUGCUCGGGUGUCACGUGCCAUCCGGGGUUUUCGCAGAGAAGAAGCCAGGUGCGCUGCUUUAGGUAACUCCCACGUGACCUCCCCACCAAGCCCCUGGCUCCAUAAGAGCCUGGGCCGGGCCCCGGCAGGGGGAGCUUGGCUGCGGAGACAUGGCUGCCUUCUGUCUGCAUCUUCCACCGGGGGCUCUCCCUGCCGAGAGGUCAGAAACAUUUCCCAGAAUCCUCUCCCUCACAUGGUUCUGGGUUAGACUUGGCCUAGGAGAGGCAUAAUCCCGUGAAAUGUGGAAGCUGGAAGGGAAGAAGCCAUUGUUCACUGGAGACUGUUGCUAAGUGUCGGCAGAUUUGCAGGAGCCUUCCAGAGAAUUCUUAACCACCUGCUACACUGCUCCAGACUGAGAGAUACUGUGCCUACCACACCGAUCUGCUUGCACAGAAAGUUGAGCGUCACCCCUAAGCACUUGAACAAGACCAUCAGAACAAUAAUUUCAUGAGGAGUGAAGCAUUAAACAUGAAGAGACACAAGGGAAAAAGCUGGAGAGAAAAGGAGAGGUGAAAAAAAGAUCUCCCAAUAAUUUACUGUAAUGUCCCAUUGUUAAUUUCCUUAUCCCGCCUUUGAGCAAAUCCUCAGUGAAGGGCUUUCUCCUUCUGUGCAGUCACAGCUAUGGACCCCUCAGCUCCCAGCUCUGUCCAUCCCCUUCCCCUACAGAUAGCAGCAGACAGCACUGCUCUGGAAAUACGGUCAUCACUGUAAAGACAGUGGGGACAAUGGAAAGGCUGUGCAAAAAGGAAAACAAAAAAACUUAAAAACCCAUUGCUAAAAAAAAAAGUGAGACUUUUGGAAACAACAUCAAAGCCAUCAUACCU
Felis catus (domestic cat) is the source of this 1609-nucleotide long non-coding RNA. RefSeq lists it as uncharacterized. Lineage: Eukaryota; Metazoa; Chordata; Mammalia; Carnivora; Felidae. The transcript is spliced from 3 exons. The record is from RefSeq and is a predicted model, not a curated record.